This 1006-nucleotide ribosomal RNA is filed under the name uncultured bacterium. Its description in RNAcentral is "bacterial SSU rRNA". It matches the Rfam family "Bacterial small subunit ribosomal RNA", at positions 97 to 1109 of the family's 1533-position model. The record is from RNAcentral.
GGCGAACGGGUGAGUAAUAUAUCGGAACGUGCCCUGGAGUGGGGGAUAACUAGUCGAAAGACUAGCUAAUACCGCAUACGAUCUAUGGAUGAAAGUGGGGGAUCGCAAGACCUCAUGCUCGUGGAGCGGCCGAUAUCUGAUUAGCUAGUUGGUGGGGUAAAAGCCUACCAAGGCAUCGAUCAGUAGCUGGUCUGAAAGGACGACCAGCCACACUGGGACUGAAACACGGCCCAAACUCCUACGGGAGGCAGCAGUGGGGAAUUCUGGACAAUGGGGGCAACCCUGAUCCAGCAAUGCCGCGUGAGUGAAGAAGGCCUUCGGGUUGUAAAGCUCUUUUGUCAGGGAAGAAACGGUCCGGGCUAAUAUCCUGGGCUAAUGACGGUACCUGAAGAAUAAGCACCGGCUAACUACGUGCCAGCAGCCGCGGUAAUACGUAGGGUGCAAGCGUUAAUCGGAAUUACUGGGCGUAAAGCGUGCGCAGGCGGUUGUGCAAGACAGAUGUGAAAUCCCCGGGCUCAACCUGGGAAUUGCAUUUGUGACUGCACGGCUAGAGUGUGUCAUAGGGGGGUAGAAUUCCACGUGUAGCAGUGAAAUGCGUAUAGAUGUGGAGGAAUACCGAUGGCGAAUGCAGCCCCCUGGAUAACACUGACGCUCAUGCCCAAAGCGUGGGGAGCAAACAGGAUUAGAUACCCUGGUAGUCCACGCCCUAAACGAUGUCAACUGAUUGUUGGGUCUCUUCUGACUCAGUAACGAACUAACGCGUGAAGUUGACCGCCUGGGGAGUACGGCCGCAGGAUGAAACUCAAAGGAUUUGACGGGACCCACACAGCGGGGCAUGAUGUGGUUUGAUUCGAUGCACGCGAAACCCUACCCACCUUUGACUGUACGGAAUUGGCAGAGAUGGCUAACUGCUCAAAGAAGAACCGUUACCCCGUGCUGCAUGGCUGUCUCAGCUCGUGACGGGGGAUAGUUGGGCUUUAGUCCCGAAACGAGCGGUACUCUGUGC